This 87-nucleotide transfer RNA is filed under the name Methanomethylophilus sp. RNAcentral describes it as "tRNA-Ser". It matches the Rfam family "tRNA". From Rfam's summary of the family: Transfer RNA (tRNA) molecules are approximately 80 nucleotides in length. Their secondary structure includes four short double-helical elements and three loops (D, anti-codon, and T loops). Further hydrogen bonds mediate the characteristic L-shaped molecular structure. tRNAs have two regions of fundamental functional importance: the anti-codon, which is responsible for specific mRNA codon recognition, and the 3' end, to which the tRNAs corresponding amino acid is attached (by aminoacyl-tRNA synthetases). tRNAs cope with the degeneracy of the genetic code in two manners: having more than one tRNA (with a specific anti-codon) for a particular amino acid; and 'wobble' base-pairing, i.e. permitting non-standard base-pairing at the 3rd anti-codon position. Lineage: Archaea; Methanobacteriati; Thermoplasmatota; Thermoplasmata; Methanomassiliicoccales; Methanomethylophilaceae. RNAcentral also lists the same sequence under 1 other name. The record is from RNAcentral.
GCCGAGAUAGCCCAGCCCGGUAAGACGCAAGCCUGGAAAGCUUGUGGGUGCAUACCCUCGGGAGUUCAAAUCUCCCUCUCGGCGCCA